RNAcentral lists this long non-coding RNA (900 nucleotides) under Homo sapiens (human). Its description in RNAcentral is "GTF3C2 antisense RNA 2, transcript variant 5 (GTF3C2-AS2)". Lineage: Eukaryota; Metazoa; Chordata; Mammalia; Primates; Hominidae. The record is from RNAcentral.
AAGUUCGAAGAUGGCGCCGCCUGUCUGGUCGCGGUCUUAUGACGAAAUCUUGUUAGCUGCUCUUCACUGACGCCCCCACCCCAGUGCACAAGAUGAAGUUCUGCUCUUGUUGCCCAGGCUGGAGUGCAAUGGCGCGAUCUCGGCUCACCACAACCUCUGCCUCCUGGGUUCAAGUGAUUCUCCUGCCUCAGCCUCCCGAGUAGCUGGGAUUACAGGCAUGCACCACCACUCCCAGCUGAUUUGUUGUAUUUUUAUAUUUUUAGUAGAGACGGGGUUUCUCCACGUUGGUCAGGCUGGUCUCGAACUCCCAACCUCAGGUGAUCUGCCCGCCUCAGCCACCCAAAGUGCCAGGAUAACAGGCGUGAGCCACUGAGUCCGGCAAUUAAUAAAUCCUUUUUUUUUUUUUUUUUGAGAUGGAGUCUCGCUCUGUCGCCCAGGCUGGAGUGCAGUGGCAUGAUCUCGGCUCACUGCAAGCUCUGCCUCCUGGGUUCACGCCAUUCUCCUGACUCAGCCUCCAGAUUAGCUGGGACUACAGGCGCCCACCACCACGCCCGGCUAAUUUUUUGUAUUUUUAGUAGAGACGGGGUUUCACUGUGUUAGCCAGGAUGAUUGUGAACUCCUGACCUCGUGAACUGCCCUCCUCGGCCUCCCAAAGUGCUGGAAUUACAGGCUUGAGCCACUGUGCCCGGCCUAAUAAAUCUUAAUGAUGGCUUUUCUUCUGUGAAAACACCUGACCACUGACCCACCAAAUCUCCCACAGGAAAAGUAAACUUUGAAGUUACUUUUGUCUUGUUCCCUCUUCCUGGUUGCUAGUUUAAUGUAAUGUUUUUGCAAUAGCUAGACUGCUGUAAUAUACUGUCAGUGUUUUUCCAAUUAAAUAGAAACAGAGCUAUAUAAUUA